Uranotaenia lowii is the source of this 661-nucleotide long non-coding RNA. RefSeq lists it as uncharacterized. The record is from RefSeq and is a predicted model, not a curated record. Lineage: Eukaryota; Metazoa; Arthropoda; Insecta; Diptera; Culicidae. The transcript has 4 exons.
GAGAUAGAUUGUAAACAAAACAAAGAUUGUGGAAUUUCAAUGCAAGUAGUAUCGUUUGGUGAUCAGAAGAAAAUUAAAGCUAAGUUCGCAGUGGUUAUUGUUGAGUUUGAAUACUUACCCUAAAUUUACGUGCUAAGGCAUUUGCAACUUUAGUACGAAGGCGCGAAGUGAAACUGCGCAGGGAAGUUGAGCACAGGCUACAAUACCACGCAACGAAGCGUUUUCAAUUAGGAAUCGCCAGAUUGAACCGAAAUCGAAUUGAGGUGUAGGGACUAGCAGCGGAAAAUAGCUGGAAUCGAGACGGAAGUAAGCGAUAGGAAGUUCACUAAACGUAAGCUUGAAAAUUGUUCUUAGUGUAUUCCAAAAUUAAUUUGUAUUCAAAUCGUAGGAAUUUAAAACGUGUCCCGGUAGAGCUUCGAACGGACAAAUAAAAGGGAACGUUACGAAUCCGAAAACAAACUUUCGUUGUUACCACGAUCCGGAAGUAACAAUUUACAUUUUAAAUUCGUUUACGAAAAUGUCCGAUUCAGCCAGCACCGCAGCCACUGCUGCCCAAAAAGGUAAGAGCUUAGCGAGUAGUUCCCCUAAGGCGAAAAGUGAUACCCCCCCUCAACUCAAGUCCGUUGCUCUUGGCCCUAACACUGAGAACGGCAAAUCGAAA